RNAcentral lists this ribosomal RNA (502 nucleotides) under uncultured bacterium. RNAcentral's name for it is "bacterial SSU rRNA". It matches the Rfam family "Bacterial small subunit ribosomal RNA", at positions 28 to 526 of the family's 1533-position model. The record is from RNAcentral.
GACGAACGCUGGCGGCGCGCCUAACACAUGCAAGUCGAACGGAGCGCACUGUGUGAAGCCCUUCGGGGUGGAACUUUGUGUUGCUUAGUGGCGAACGGGUGAGUAACACGUGAGUAACCUACCAUAGAGUGGGGGACAACAUUCGGAAACGGAUGCUAAUACCGCAUAAGACCACAGUACCGCAUGGUACAGUGGCCAAAGGAGCAAUUCGCUCUUUGAUGGACUCGCGUCUGAUUAGAUUGUUGGUGAGGUAACGGCUCACCAAGUCUGCGAUCAGUAGCCGGACUGAGAGGUUGAUCGGCCACAUUGGGACUGAGACACGGCCCAGACUCCUACGGGAGGCAGCAGUGGGGAAUAUUGCACAAUGGACGAAAGUCUGAUGCAGCGACGCCGCGUGAGGGAAGAAGGUUUUCGGAUUGUAAACCUCUGUCUUCGGGGACGAUAAUGACGGUACCCGAGGAGGAAGCCACGGCUAACUACGUGCCAGCCGCCGCAGUAACAC